This 504-nucleotide ribosomal RNA is filed under the name uncultured bacterium. Its description in RNAcentral is "partial 16S ribosomal RNA". It matches the Rfam family "Bacterial small subunit ribosomal RNA", at positions 28 to 523 of the family's 1533-position model. The record is from RNAcentral.
GAUGAACGCUAGCGGCAGGCUUAAUACAUGCAAGUCGAGGGGUAGCAAGAUUGUAGCAAUACAAUUGUUGACGAACGGCAAACGGGUGCGGAACACGUACACAACCUUCCUACAAGUGGGGAAUAGCUCAGAGAAAUUUGGAUUAAUACCCCGUAACAUAGCGAUGUGGCAUCACAUUGCUAUUAUAGCUUCGGCGCCUGUGGAUGGGUGUGCGGCUGAUUAGAUAGUUGGCGGGGUAACGGCCCACCAAGUCUACGAUCAGUAGCUGAUGUGAGAGCAUGAUCAGCCACACGGGCACUGAGACACGGGCCCGACUCCUACGGGAGGCAGCAGUAAGGAAUAUUGGACAAUGGACGCAAGUCUGAUCCAGCCAUGCCGCGUGAAGGAUUAAGGUCCUCUGGAUUGUAAACUUCUUUUAUAAGGGACGAAAAAAGGUCUUUCUAGAUCGUCUGACGGUACCUUAUGAAUAAGCACCGGCUAACUCCGUGCCAGCCGCCGCCGUAA